The sequence is a ribosomal RNA, 503 nucleotides long. It matches the Rfam family "Bacterial large subunit ribosomal RNA", at positions 295 to 795 of the family's 2925-position model.
GGGUUGUAGGACACUCUAUACGGAGUUACAAAGGACGACAUUAGACGAAUCAUCUGGAAAGAUGAAUCAAAGAAGGUAAUAAUCCUGUAGUCGAAAAUGUUGUCUCUCUUGAGUGGAUCCUGAGUACGACGGAGCACGUGAAAUUCCGUUGGAAUCUGGGAGGACCAUCUCCUAAGGCUAAAUACUCUCUAGUGACCGAUAGUGAACCAGUACCGUGAGGGAAAGGUGAAAAGCACCCCGGAAGGGGAGUGAAAUAGAACCUGAAACCGUGUGCUUACAAGUAGUCAGAGCCCGUUAAUGGGUGAUGGCGUGCCUUUUGUAGAAUGAACCGGCGAGUUACGAUUUGAUGCAAGGUUAAGCAGUAAAUGUGGAGCCGUAGCGAAAGCGAGUCUGAAUAGGGCGUUUAGUAUUUGGUCGUAGACCCGAAACCAGGUGAUCUACCCUUGGUCAGGUUGAAGUUCAGGUAACACUGAAUGGAGGACCGAACCGACUUACGUUGAAAA